CAUGGAAAAGGACUGGAGUUUGACACCCGUGGGAUGUCUGAUGCCUGACAAGUCACAGUAUCAUUUGGAGGUUUGAAUACACUCAUCAUGGACAUACAAUGAGUUUCUUCAUGAUGUAAGAACUAACAGAAGCCAUCUCUGAGCUCCAGCCCUAAACUUUGCUACUGUGAUGUUGGCUUGUUUGGAGAAUUCCCCAAGCAGUUUUCUCUUCCAGAUCAAGUUUCCAUUUAAACUGCAGUUUGAGCAAUUUUAAUUUUGAAAAGUCAGAAUAUGUCGUCUCGUCUCCUUAAAUACCGUAUACACCUGGCUCACUAUUUACAUCCUUGAAGGUCUACAGUCAAGCAGGGGUGCCUGCGUAAGAACCCGUCUUUCCUGAUUUUAUCGCUCAAGAAUUCGUUAUUCUGGGCACAGAAUCAACAUCAGACACGUCAUCACAAUCCUUUUUGGUUUUAGAGGAAGGGAGGGUAGGAAAGGGCUCACAGAGCAGUUCAACUGACAAACCUACUUGGGAGAAGGGGCUAGGUGAAGGAGGCCUCUGAAAGCGGGGUUGGGGUUUAAAUACUGGUCUGCAAGGUUUGAUGGAAACAGAUGUCAAACAGGAACUCGUGUGUUUAACGUCUCCUCUGCAACAAGCUUCCUGAUCUGCCUCGACAGGCGCCGGCCUGCAAACUGCUGCCUCAUACUUCACCUCGGACCGUCUGUGACCUACUUUCUGCUGGGAUGUGGAAAGUCAAAACAAAAAAGUCUAUUGUGACUGUACUGCUGCUCUGAUCUGUUACGGACACCUAGUGUGAUGUCUAGGAGAAAAGAGAGUGGACUUUUUGACCAGACUCUAUAACACAAUUCCAGAUAUUGAGAACUGAGUCCUGACCUCAACCCAACAGAACAGCUUUGGGAUAAAUUACAGUGGAGACCGCAGGAAAGACCUACUGGUCCAACAUCAGUGUGUCACCUCACAAAUGUGCAUCCAAGAAAGAUUCUCAAAUACGAAGAGUUGAACAGCACCUACACACCUACUGGCUGGAUAAGCUAACUGCACAAACAGUUAACUGAUGAGACGCACCUGGUACAACUAACUGAAGGGCGGACAGUACUGAUCCCCAAGGAUCCCCAGAAGGGACCGGUCACAUCCAACUACUGGUCAAUAACCUGCCUAAGCACAACAUGAAAUCUCCUAUCAGGCACAAUAGCGGCUAAGAUGAGAGAAUAGGAGACAGAACAUCAUCCACUCUGGUCCUGAAUACAGUGCUCUUUUCACACUAUUCACUAACGGCUGUACAGCUAUCCGCUCCUCAAACACGGUUCUGAAGUUUCCAGACAACACCACUGUAGUGGGUCUUAUAACAAACAAUGAUGAGAUCCUCCACAGGGAGAAGAUCCAGCACCUGGUGUUUACUGAACAAUCUGCUGCUUAACACCAGCAAGGCCAGGGAGGUCAUAGUAGACUACAGAAGGUUCAGGAGGACAGAGCAGCCACCUCUCCUCAUCCAAGGGAAGGUGGUGGAGUGUGUCGAUAACAUCAAAUUCCAGAUCUGACUUGGCCACUGAACACCUCCUUUCUGGUGAGGAAGGCUCCACAAAGACUCUUCUUCUUCAGGAAACUGAAGAGAGCUGGACUCUCCCCCCAGUUGCUCAGAACUUUUACAGAGCUGUGAUCGAGAACAUCCUCUGCCACAGUACGACUGUGGUAUUGCAGCUGCAUCUUUUUUUGUAUUUUCUUUAUCACCGAGGGCACCACUGUAAUUUUUGUUAUGUUCUAGCAAC
This is a long non-coding RNA of Oreochromis niloticus (Nile tilapia), 1764 nucleotides long. RefSeq lists it as uncharacterized. The transcript has 4 exons. NCBI's taxonomy places the organism in Eukaryota, Metazoa, Chordata, Actinopteri, Cichliformes, Cichlidae. The record is from RefSeq and is a predicted model, not a curated record.